GACGAACGCUGGCGGCGUGCUUAACACAUGCAAGUCGAACGGAAAGGCCCUGCUUUUGUGGGGUGCUCGAGUGGCGAACGGGUGAGUAACACGUGAGUAACCUGCCCUUGACUUUGGGAUAACUUCAGGAAACUGGGGCUACUACCGGAUAGGAGCUCCUGCUGCAUGGUGGGGGUUGGAAAGUUUCGGCGGUUGGGGCUGGACUCGCGGCUUAUCAGCUUGUUGGUGGGGUAGUGGCUUACCAAGGCUUUGACGGGUAGCCGGCCUGAGAGGGGGACCAGCGACAAUGGGACUGAGGUAGGGACCAGACGCGUACGGGGGGCAGCAGGGGCGAGUAUUACCCAAUGGGCGGGAGCGUGAUGCAGCAACGCCGCGUGCGGGAUGACGGCCUGCGGGUUGUGAACCGCUUUCGCCUGUGACGAAGCGUGAGUGACGGUAAUGGGUAAAGAAGCACCGGCUAACUACGUG
RNAcentral lists this ribosomal RNA (468 nucleotides) under uncultured bacterium. RNAcentral's name for it is "partial 16S ribosomal RNA". It matches the Rfam family "Bacterial small subunit ribosomal RNA", at positions 28 to 507 of the family's 1533-position model. The record is from RNAcentral.